UGCMAGUCGAGCGGAACGAGUUAUCUGAACCUUCGGGGRACGAUAACGGCGUCGAGCGGYGGACGGGUGAGUAAUGCCUAGGAAAUUGCCCUGRUGUGGGGGAUAACCAUUGGAAACGAUGGCUAAUACCGCAUAAUACCUWCGGGUCAAAGAGGGGGACCUUCGGGCCUCUCGCGUCAGGAUAUGCCUAGGUGGGAUUAGCUAGUUGGUGAGGUAAUGGCUCACCAAGGCGACGAUCCCUAGCUGGUCUGAGAGGAUGAUCAGCCACACUGGAACUGAGACACGGUCCAGACUCCUACGGGAGGCAGCAGUGGGGAAUAUUGCACAAUGGGCGCAAGCCUGAUGCAGCCAUGCCGCGUGUGUGAAGAAGGCCUUCGGGUUGUAAAGCACUUUCAGUCGUGAGGAAGGUAGUGUAGUUAAUAGCUGCAUUAUUUGACGUUAGCGACAGAAGAAGCACCGGCUAACUCCGUGCCAGCAGCCGCGGUAAUACGGAGGGUGCGAGCGUUAAUCGGAAUUACUGGGCGUAAAGCGCAUGCAGGUGGUUUGUUAAGUCAGA
RNAcentral lists this ribosomal RNA (556 nucleotides) under Vibrio harveyi. Its description in RNAcentral is "bacterial SSU rRNA". It matches the Rfam family "Bacterial small subunit ribosomal RNA", at positions 56 to 592 of the family's 1533-position model. Lineage: Bacteria; Pseudomonadati; Pseudomonadota; Gammaproteobacteria; Vibrionales; Vibrionaceae. The record is from RNAcentral.